RNAcentral lists this ribosomal RNA (497 nucleotides) under uncultured bacterium. RNAcentral describes it as "partial 16S ribosomal RNA". It matches the Rfam family "Bacterial small subunit ribosomal RNA", at positions 28 to 507 of the family's 1533-position model. The record is from RNAcentral.
GACGAACGCUGGCGGCGUGCCUAAUACAUGCAAGUCGAACGCUGAAGAGAGGAGCUUGCUCUUCUUGGAUGAGUUGCGAACGGGUGAGUAACGCGUAGGUAACCUGCCUUGUAGCGGGGGAUAACUAUUGGAAACGAUAGCUAAUACCGCAUAACAAUGGAUGACACAUGUCAUUUAUUUGAAAGGGGCAAUUGCUCCACUACAAGAUGGACCUGCGUUGUAUUAGCUAGUAGGUGAGGUAACGGCUCACCUAGGCGACGAUACAUAGCCGACCUGAGAGGGUGAUCGGCCACACUGGGACUGAGACACGGCCCAGACUCCUACGGGAGGCAGCAGUAGGGAAUCUUCGGCAAGGGGGGCAACCCUGACCGAGCAACGCCGCGUGAGUGAAGAAGGGUGUCGGAUCGUAAAGCUCGGUUGUAAGUCAAGAACGAGUGUGAGAGUGGAAAGUUCACACUGUGACGGUAGCUUACCAGAAAGGGACGGCUAACUACGUG